AGAUUGAACGCUGGCGGCAGGCCUAACACAUGCAAGUCGAGCGGUAGAGAGGUGCUUGCACCUCUUGAGAGCGGCGGACGGGUGAGUAAUGCCUAGGAAUCUGCCUAGUGGUGGGGGAUAACGUUCGGAAACGGACGCUAAUACCGCAUACGUCCUACGGGAGAAAGCGGGGGACCUUCGGGCCUCGCGCCAUUAGAUGAGCCUAGGUCGGAUUAGCUAGUUGGUGAGGUAAUGGCUCACCAAGGCGACGAUCCGUAACUGGUCUGAGAGGAUGAUCAGUCACACUGGAACUGAGACACGGUCCAGACUCCG
Molecule: ribosomal RNA, 312 nt
Filed under: uncultured soil bacterium
Lineage: Bacteria
Description: bacterial SSU rRNA
Rfam family: Bacterial small subunit ribosomal RNA
Source: RNAcentral